AGCAGCCGCGGUAAUUCCAGCUCCAAUAGCGUAUAUUAAAGUUGUUGCAGUUAAAAAGCUCGUAGUUGAAUUUCGGGAUCAAGGAAUCGGUCAUGCCUCGGUAUGUACUGGUUCUAUUGGUUCUCACCUUCUAAAGAACCAUAAUGUCAUUCAUUUGAUGUUAUGGGGAAUUAGGACUGUUACCUUGAAAAAAUUAGAGUGUUUAAAGCAGGCUUACGCUUGAAUACAUUAGCAUGGAAUGACGGAAUAGGACGUUUGAUUCUAUUUUGUUGGUUUCUAGGAUCGACGUAAUGAUUAAUAGGGAUAGUUGGGGGCAUUAGUAUUCAAUUGUCAGAGGUGAAAUUCUUGGAUUUAUUGAAGACUAACUACUGCGAAAGCAUUUGCCAAGGAUGUUUUCAUUAAUCAAGAACGAAAGUUAGGGGAUCGAAGACGAUCAGAUACCGUCGUGGUCUUAACCAUAAACUAUGCCGACUAGGGAUCGGAUGAUGUUAAUUUUUUAAUGACUCA
Molecule: ribosomal RNA, 507 nt
Filed under: uncultured Glomeraceae
Lineage: Eukaryota; Fungi; Glomeromycota; Glomeromycetes; Glomerales; Glomeraceae
Description: SSU rRNA
Rfam family: Eukaryotic small subunit ribosomal RNA
Source: RNAcentral